UGGCCUCCACAUCUCCAAGAAAUCCAAGUUCCUGAUGGUAGGGAUGACUAUGUCCAGCUCGUCCUUCAAUGGAGGCGAAACAUGGGUCGCAGGCUGCGCCAUCGUGAGAGAGUGAGAAUUGAGAACUGCGGCGGGGGUGAGUGUAAGAUUGUAUGAUGAUUUAUUGGGUGACGCGUUGGGGUUGGGUGACGCGUUGGGGUUAGGCAACGAGGAAA
RNAcentral lists this unclassified non-coding RNA (215 nucleotides) under Hevea brasiliensis (rubber tree). The record is from RNAcentral. Lineage: Eukaryota; Viridiplantae; Streptophyta; Magnoliopsida; Malpighiales; Euphorbiaceae.